Molecule: transfer RNA, 71 nt
Filed under: Loxodonta africana (African savanna elephant)
Lineage: Eukaryota; Metazoa; Chordata; Mammalia; Proboscidea; Elephantidae
Rfam family: tRNA
About the family: Transfer RNA (tRNA) molecules are approximately 80 nucleotides in length.
Source: Rfam by way of RNAcentral
GCACUGGUGGUUCAGUGGUAGAAUUCUUACCUUCUUUGUUGGAGACCUGGGUUUGAUUUCUAGCCAAUACA